AUACGGAGGGUGCAAGCGUUAUUCGGAAUCACUGGGCGUAAAGGACGCGUAGGCGGGUUGGCAAGUCAGAUGUGAAAUCCUACAGCUUAACUGUAGAACUGCAUUUGAAACUGCUAACCUAGAGUAUGGGAGGGGGAGAUGGAAUUAGUGGUGUAGGGGUAAAAUCCGUAGAUAUCACUAGGAAUACCGAAAGCGAAGGCGAUCUCCUGGAACAUAACUGACGCUAAGGCGUGAAAGCAUGGGGAGCAAACAGGAUUAGAUACCCUUGUAGUCC
RNAcentral lists this ribosomal RNA (274 nucleotides) under uncultured bacterium. RNAcentral describes it as "partial 16S ribosomal RNA". It matches the Rfam family "Bacterial small subunit ribosomal RNA", at positions 523 to 796 of the family's 1533-position model. The record is from RNAcentral.